UUAAAAGCUUUGAACAAGAGUAGUAAUAUUUAUUUAUUUUAAGAGAGCUGUUGCUUGGUGAGAAACAGUAUUAAAAAAUAUGAACUCGCUUGGGAGCUUAUUUGCAGAAAAGCAAAUACGGUAAAUCCGUUAAUUUUUUAAGUGAGGUAUUUCCUAACUUGAGUGGUACCGCGGAAGUAAUGCUUUCGUCUCAAUC
RNAcentral lists this non-coding RNA (196 nucleotides) under Clostridium acetobutylicum. RNAcentral describes it as "T-box sequence". It matches the Rfam family "T-box leader". From Rfam's summary of the family: Uncharged tRNA acts as the effector for transcription antitermination of genes in the T-box leader family. Lineage: Bacteria; Bacillati; Bacillota; Clostridia; Eubacteriales; Clostridiaceae. The record is from RNAcentral.